Molecule: ribosomal RNA, 433 nt
Filed under: uncultured bacterium
Lineage: Bacteria
Description: partial 16S ribosomal RNA
Rfam family: Bacterial small subunit ribosomal RNA
Source: RNAcentral
AGCGAACGCUGGCGGCAGGCUUAACACAUGCAAGUCGAGCGGGCACUUCGGUGUCAGCGGCAGACGUGUGAGUAACACGUGGGAACGUACCCUUUGGUUCGGAAUAACGCUGGGAAACUAGCGCUAAUACCGGAUACGCCCUUUUGGGGAAAGGCUUGCUUCCGAAGGAUCGGCCCGCGUCUGAUUAGCGAGUUGGUGGGGUAAUGGCCUACUAAGGCGACGAUCAGUAGCUGGUCUGAGAGGAUGAUCAUCCACACUGGGAAUGAGACACGGCCCAGACUCCUACGGGAGGGAGCAGUGGGGAAUAUUGGACAAUGGGCGCAAGCCUGAUCCAGCCAUGCCGCGUGAGUGAUGAAGGCCUUAGGGUUGUAAAGCUCUUUUGUCCGGGACGAUAAUGACGGUACCGGAAGAAUAAGCCCCGGCUAACUUCGUG